Schistosoma margrebowiei is the source of this 45-nucleotide non-coding RNA. Lineage: Eukaryota; Metazoa; Platyhelminthes; Trematoda; Strigeidida; Schistosomatidae. The record is from Rfam.
AUCCAGCUGACGAGUCCCAAAUGGGACGAAACGCGCAUCCUGAAU